RNAcentral lists this ribosomal RNA (325 nucleotides) under uncultured prokaryote. RNAcentral's name for it is "bacterial SSU rRNA". It matches the Rfam family "Bacterial small subunit ribosomal RNA", at positions 26 to 352 of the family's 1533-position model. The record is from RNAcentral.
AGAUUGAACGCUGGCGGCAUGCUUUACACAUGCAAGUCGAACGGCAGCACGGGGGGCAACCCUGGUGGCGAGCGGCGGGCGGGUGAGUAAGGCAUCGGAAUCUGCCCUGAUGUGGGGGAUAACGUAGGGAAACUUACGCUAAUACCGCAUACGACCGAGAGGUGAAAGCGGGGGACCGAAAGGCCUCGCGCUGAAGGAGCGGCCGAUGUCCGAUUAGCUAGUUGGUGGGGUAACGGCCUACCAAGGCGACGAUCGGUAGCUGGUCUGAGAGGACGACCAGCCACACUGGGACUGAGACACGGCCCAGACUCCUACGGGCGGCAGC